RNAcentral lists this ribosomal RNA (426 nucleotides) under uncultured bacterium. RNAcentral's name for it is "bacterial SSU rRNA". It matches the Rfam family "Bacterial small subunit ribosomal RNA", at positions 355 to 773 of the family's 1533-position model. The record is from RNAcentral.
UGAGGAAUAUUGGACAAUGGGCGCAAGCCUGAUCCAGCAAUGCCGCGUGCAGGAUGAAGGCCUUCGGGUUGUAAACUGCUUUUGUACGGAACGAAACGGCUCUGUCUAAUACAUGGGGCUAAUGACGGUACCGUAAGAAGAAGCACCGGCUAACUACGUGCCAGCAGCCGCGGUAAUACGUAGGGUGCGAGCGUUAAUCGGAAUUACUGGGCGUAAAGCGUGCGCAGGCGGUGAUGUAAGACAGAUGCGAAAUCCCCGGGCUCAACCUGGGAACUGCGUUUGUGAAUGCAUCACUCGAGUACGGCAGAGGGAGGUGGAAUUCCGCGUGUAGCAGUGAAAUGCGUAGAUAUGCGGAGGAACACCGAUGGCGAAGGCAAUCCCCUGGACCUGUACUGACGCUCAUGCACGAAAGCGUGGGGAGCAAAC